GUUUCAGAGAGUUCGAUCCUGGCUCAGGAUGAACGCCGGCGGCGUGCCUAAUACAUGCAAGUCGAGCGGGGCCCGCAAGGGUCCAGCGGCAAACGGGUGAGUAACACGUUGGUAACCUGCCCCUCGGAUCGGAAUACCGGGGAGAAAUCUCCGCUAAUGCCGGAUAUGUGCGCCUGGCUCGGGCCGGGCGGACGAAAGGGGGCCGAAAGGCCUCGCCGGGGGAUGGGCCUGCGGCGCAUCAGCCAGUUGGCGGGACAAAGGCCCACCAAAGCGAGGAUGCGUAGCCGGACUGAGAGGUCGGCCGGCCACAUUGGAACUGAGACACGGUCCAGACUCCUACGGGAGGCAGCAGUAGGGAGUAUUUGGCAAUGGGGGAAACCCUGACCGAGCAACGCCGCGUGUGCGAUGGAGUCCCUCAGGGACGUGAAGCACUGUGGGGGGCCGCCAAACGGGCGGGCAGGAAAUGGCCCGUCCCCGAGGAGCCCCCUAGAAAGCGACUGCUAACCACGUGCCAGCAGCAGCGGUAAUACGUGGGUCGCAAGCGUUAUCCGGAAUCAUUGGGCGUAAAGAGUGAGCAGGCGGUCCGGGAAGUCCGCGGUGAAAUGCGGGGGCUCAACCCCCGCAGGCCGCGGAUACUUCCGGUCUGGGGUGCGGGAGAGGCGGACGGAACUCCGCGUGUAGCGGUGAAAUGCACUGAUACGCGGAAGAACACCGGUGGCGAAGGCGGUCCGCCAGACCGAUACCGACGCUCAGUCACGAAAGCGUGGGGAGCAAAUAGGAUUAGAUACCCUAGUAGUCCACGCCGUAAACGAUGGGGGCCAGGGCGCGGGGUCGACCCGCGUCCGAAGCAAACGCAUUAAGCCCCCCGCCUGGGUACUACGUUCGCAAGAAUAAAACUUAAAGGAAUUGGCGGGUGCCCGCACAAGCAGUGGAGCAUGCGGUUCAAUUCGUGGCUACACGUAGAACCUUACCAGGGUUUGACAUGCCGGCAAAGGCCCCGGAGACGGGGAGAUAGCUAUGCCGGACAAAGGUGGUGCAUGGCUGUCGUCAGCUCGUGUCGUGAGAUGUUAGGUCAAGUCCUCCAACGAGCGCGACCCCCGCCGCCAGUUGCCAUCAUUCGGUUGGGCACUCUGGCGGGACCGCCGGCGACAAGCCGGAGGAAGGCGGGGAUGACGUCAAGUCAUCAUGCCCCUUAUGCCCUGGGCCACACGCGUGCUACAAUGGCCGGCACAGUGGGAAGCGACGCCGCGAGGCGGAGCGGAUCCCAAAAGCCGGUCCCAGUACGGACCGGGGGCUGCAACCCGCCCCCGCGAAGCUGGAAUUGCUAGUAAUCGCGGAUCAGCCAAGCCGCGGUGAAUGCGUUCUCGGGCAUUGCACACACUGCCCGUCACACCAUGAAAGCCUGCAACGCUCUAAGUCGCCAGCCCGACCCGCGAGGGGGGGCGGCGCCCAAGGCGGGGCCGGUGAUUGGGGUUAAGUCGAAACAAGGUAUCCCUACGAGAACGUGGGGAUGGAUCACCUCCUUU
This 1526-nucleotide ribosomal RNA is filed under the name Clostridium sp. RNAcentral's name for it is "bacterial SSU rRNA". It matches the Rfam family "Bacterial small subunit ribosomal RNA". Lineage: Bacteria; Bacillati; Bacillota; Clostridia; Eubacteriales; Clostridiaceae. The record is from RNAcentral.